CAAACUGUCAGCGCUAUCUAAAAGGGUCUAAAUGGCCAACUCAAACCCUACGUGUACCUUCGGAGGAAUUCGGCAUCUAGCUCGCCCAGGAGGGGCCUGACGUGGAGACAUACAGUGGGAGAGAAAGUUGUAAAACGUGGACUUCCUGAAUGGUGCUCUUCCUGUUUCCAGGCCUAUCCGGGAGAGAGAGAGAGUGGUCUCAGUGUGCUUGUUCCAAGCUUCCAGCGCUGGGUCAGAGGACUGAGGGGUGAGCAGCUGACACUAUGUCAAGAGUGGAGGGUGACUACGUCAACAUGUGGUUAUGCACCUGUAAUAACAACUGUCCACCCGUUCAUACACAACGUCGUACACCUAGGAGCUACAUUCUGACCAGGACCUGAGCCCUAGGACCAUGCCUCAGGACUACCUGACAUGAUGACUCCUUGCUGUCCCCAGUCCACCUGGCCGUGCUGCUGCUCCAGUUUCAACU
This 469-nucleotide long non-coding RNA is filed under the name Salmo salar (Atlantic salmon). Its description in RNAcentral is "lncRNA (ENSSSAG00000122063.1)". Lineage: Eukaryota; Metazoa; Chordata; Actinopteri; Salmoniformes; Salmonidae. The record is from RNAcentral.